RNAcentral lists this ribosomal RNA (889 nucleotides) under Haloferax sp. AA41. RNAcentral's name for it is "bacterial SSU rRNA". It matches the Rfam family "Archaeal small subunit ribosomal RNA", at positions 38 to 932 of the family's 1478-position model. Lineage: Archaea; Methanobacteriati; Methanobacteriota; Halobacteria; Halobacteriales; Haloferacaceae. The record is from RNAcentral.
GGUCGAUUUAGCAUGCUAGUUGCACGAGUUCAUACUCGUGGCGAAAGCUCAGUAACACGUGGCCAAACUACCCUACAGAGAACGAUAACCUCGGGAAACUGAGGCUAAUAGUUCAUACGGGAGUCAUGCUGGAAUGCCGACUCCCCGAAACGCUCAGGCGCUGUAGGAUGUGGCUGCGGCCGAUUAGGUAGACGGUGGGGUAACGGCCCACCGUGCCGAUAAUCGGUACGGGUUGUGAGAGCAAGAGCCCGGAGACGGAAUCUGAGACAAGAUUCCGGGCCCUACGGGGCGCAGCAGGCGCGAAACCUUUACACUGCACGCAAGUGCGAUAAGGGGACCCCAAGUGCGAGGGCAUAUAGUCCUCGCUUUUCACGACUGUAAGGCGGUCGUGGAAUAAGAGCUGGGCAAGACCGGUGCCAGCCGCCGCGGUAAUACCGGCAGCUCAAGUGAUGACCGAUAUUAUUGGGCCUAAAGCGUCCGUAGCCGGCCACGAAGGUUCAUCGGGAAAUCCGCCAGCUCAACUGGCGGGCGUCCGGUGAAAACCACGUGGCUUGGGACCGGAAGGCUCGAGGGGUACGUCCGGGGUAGGAGUGAAAUCCCGUAAUCCUGGACGGACCACCGAUGGCGAAAGCACCUCGAGAAGACGGAUCCGACGGUGAGGGACGAAAGCUAGGGUCUCGAACCGGAUUAGAUACCCGGGUAGUCCUAGCUGUAAACGAUGCUCGCUAGGUGUGACACAGGCUACGAGCCUGUGUUGUGCCGUAGGGAAGCCGAGAAGCGAGCCGCCUGGGAAGUACGUCCGCAAGGAUGAAACUUAAAGGAAUUGGCGGGGGAGCACUACACCGGAGGAGCCUGCGGUUUAAUUGGACUCACGCCGGACAUCUCACAG